Molecule: ribosomal RNA, 249 nt
Filed under: Triticum aestivum (bread wheat)
Lineage: Eukaryota; Viridiplantae; Streptophyta; Magnoliopsida; Poales; Poaceae
Description: partial small subunit ribosomal RNA
Source: RNAcentral
CUAGUUUGGAACUGCCGGGGGGUGGCGAACCAUUGGAUAGUUCAUGAGUUGUUGGCUCUCUCAAAAGCCAAUUCCAUGGGGCUUGUGUUCUUAUGCGAGACUAGACAAGCCUCAACCAAGAUGGAAAAGCUAAAGUGGAUACUUGGUACGGAGGGGUUUGCCGGCGUCGGCAGUGACAGGCGUAGUGGUCAACUAGCUCUUUUUUGGGAUGAAAAUCUGCGAGUUACAGUGUUGGAUUCUUGUGCAUAG